Molecule: ribosomal RNA, 441 nt
Filed under: uncultured bacterium
Lineage: Bacteria
Description: partial 16S ribosomal RNA
Rfam family: Bacterial small subunit ribosomal RNA
Source: RNAcentral
AAUCAACGCUGGCGGCGCGCUUAACACAUGCAAGUCGAACGAGAAAGUGGAGCAAUCCAUGAGUAAAGUGGCGUACGGGUGAGUAACACGUGGAUCAUCUGCCUCUUAGUGGGGAAUAACUCUGGGAAACUGGAGCUAAUACCGCAUAAGCCUGGAAAGGGAAAGCGUUGUCGUAAAAACGACGCGCUGAGAGAGGAGUCCGCGGCCGAUUAGCUAGUUGGUAGGGUAAAAGCCUACCAAGGCUUUGAUCGGUAGCCGGCCUGAGAGGGCACACGGCCACACUGGCACUGAAACACGGGCCAGACUCCUACGGGAGGCAGCAGUGGGGAAUCUUGCACAAUGGGGGCAACCCUGAUGCAGCGACGCCGCGUGAGCGAAUGAAGCCCUUCGGGGUGUAAAGCUCUUUCGGCAGGAACGAUAAUGACGGUACCUGAAGAAGAA